This 22-nucleotide microRNA is filed under the name Drosophila melanogaster (fruit fly). RNAcentral describes it as "dme-miR-4970-5p". The record is from miRBase by way of RNAcentral. Lineage: Eukaryota; Metazoa; Arthropoda; Insecta; Diptera; Drosophilidae.
CUGGGAGCAGCAGUUGCUGGCG